This is an RNA transcript of Myotis davidii, 9100 nucleotides long. It is a transcript of the gene named F-box protein 30, with no coding region annotated. The record is from RefSeq and is a predicted model, not a curated record. The transcript has 4 exons. NCBI's taxonomy places the organism in Eukaryota, Metazoa, Chordata, Mammalia, Chiroptera, Vespertilionidae.
GGCAACAAACGGGUUAACGUAAGGCUGGGAGGCAUCUUCCACUGUCUCCGCGGGAUGAGCGAAGUUGGUAACUUUUCCAUUCAUGGAAGUGAGAAGCGCUGAGUCCUAGCCCGAGUCCUUAUUAAAGGGAAACUGACUGAGUGUCUGGGGCUGACGGGUACGACCCUUUCCAAGUUGUCCGCGGCCCGCCCCGUGCAGCCGCACGUUGGGUUCGGAGCGCUCUCCUCCGGGCUCGUUCUCAGGGUGUGGAUCCGGGAGAAUGGAGACUGGCAGAGCCAUGUGUUGUUUACCGUGGUUCUCCUGCUCCGCUCCCCUCUGCCUCCCUCGUUUUUUCUUUCUGGGCCAUUUCAUAAGUCUCCGAUAAGCGAUGCUUGGGAAGGAACUGACCUUUUAUUCCAGAAUUGCUGGAUGGGCUCGGAUCCAAGAUGAAGUUAUUUAUGGGCAUUCUGAUACCAUGGUAGAUGAACUUAAAAGUCUUUUAAGUACAAAAACCCCAAACUUUCUGAACUUCAGUUUUUGUUUGCCACCUUUCAGUCCUGUGUUAUGUCUUUCAGAGACCUAGCAAAUUAUAUUCACAGGUUUGGCGUUCGCUCCUACUUGUCAAGGUUUCCCAAAGCAGACCCAGCUGUUGACGCGGCCAAAGGAAAAGAUUAGCAACCAGAGCUGGACUGGCCAUUAUGGAGGAGGAGCUGCAGCAUUCGCACUGUGUGAAUUGUGUCAGUAGACGGUGUAUGACUAGACCAGAGCCUGGGAUUUCCUGUGACUUGAUUGGUUGUCCAUUGGUUUGUGGCGCAGUCUUCCAUUCUUGCAAAGCUGAUGAGCAUCGACUUUUAUGUCCAUUUGAACGAGUGCCUUGCUUAAAUAGUGGCUUUGGAUGUCCAUUUACAAUGGCUCGAAAUAAAGUUGCUGAACAUCUAGAAACAUGCCCCGCAAGUGUGGUGUGCUGUACAAUGGAAUGGAACCGAUGGCCAGUUAGUUAUGCAGAUCGGAAGUCAUAUGAAAAUCUAAGCAGAGAUGUUGAUGAAGUGGCACAAUUAGAUAUGGCCUUGGCCCUUCAAGACCAAAGGAUGCUCUUAGAAUCUCUCAAAGUAGCCACCAUGAUGUCAAAAGCAACUGAUAAAGUAUCACAGCCUAGAGAACAAAUAUCAGUUAAAUCAACUGUUCCAGAGAUACCACAUGCUAAUGGUUUGGUGUCUGUUGAUGAAGAAUCUUAUGGUGCACUUUAUCAAGCUACUGUAGAAACAACCAGAAGUUUGGCUGCUGCUUUAGAUAUCCUGAACACUGCCACAAGAGACAUUGGCAUGUUAAGUACAAAUCUUCCUGCUUCCUCAAAUGAAAUGAACGAAGAGCAAAAUGCCAGAGAAAGCUUACAGAAUAGGAACUUGAAAGACCAAGACCAUGUUCAUGAGGAUGAGAUAGGAGCAGUAGGUGGAAUUGACCAUAACGAUACAAAUCAGAAUGCCCAACCUGAACAAAAUGGUUCAAGUGAUUUGUUAUGUGACUUAGAUACCAGUUCUUAUGACACUUCUGCUCUUUGUAAUGGCCUUCCUUUGGAAAAUAUAUGUACACAGGUCAUAGACCAGAAUCAGAAUUUACAUGGUGAUUCUGGAGAAAGUAACUUAAUAAAUGGAGAAUGUGUAGCAUCAGAUGGCACUUCAGAACCUUCCAAUUCACUUUCAGUAGCAGCACAACUUAGGGAAGUAAUACCACCUAAUGCUUUGCCUAAUGGCACAAUUCAGCGUAUCCUCAUGCCAGAUGACGAGGAUGAAGGAGAAUUGUGUUGGAGAAAAGUAGACUUAGGAGACCUGAGGAAUGUGGAUGUCUUAUCUUUCAGUCAACCUUCAUUCAAAUUUCUUUCCAAUUCAUGUUGGUCUAAACCAAAGGAAGAUAAAGCAGUAGAUACAUCAGAUUUGGAAGUUGCAGAAGAUCCAAUGGGUCUCCAAGGAAUAGAUCUAAUCACAGCAGCAUUACUGUUUUGUCUAGGAGAUUCUCCAGGUGGAAGGGGUAUAUCUGAUAGUCGCAUGGUUGAUAUUUAUCACAUUGACUUUGGAACUCAGACUUUUUCACUCCCAUCUGCAAUAUUAGCUACAAAUACAAUGGUUGGGGAAAUAGCUUCAGCUUCAGCUUGUGAUCAUGCCAACCCACAGCUUUCAAAUCCAAGUCCUUUUCAGACCCUUGGGCUGGAUUUAGUAUUGGAAUGUGUCGCUAGGUACCAACCCAAGCAGCGUUCAAUGUUUACAUUUGUUUGUGGACAGCUAUUUAGAAGAAGAGAAUUUUCUUCACAUUUUAAGAAUGUGCAUGGUGACAUUCAUGCUGGACUCAAUGGCUGGAUGGAACAGAGGUGUCCUUUAGCAUAUUAUGGCUGUACCUAUUCUCAGCGUAGAUUUUGUCCAUCAACACAAGGAGCAAAGAUUAUACAUGAUCGCCAUUUGAGGUCAUUUGGAGUUCAGCCAUGUGUAUCUACAGUAUUAGAAGAGCCUGCUAGAAACUGUGUGUUGGGAUUACAUAGUGACCAUCUAAGUGGUCUUCCUUUUGAGGUUCUGCAACAUAUUGCAGGCUUUCUCGAUGGCUUCAGUCUGUGCCAGCUUUCAUGUGUAUCCAAGUUAAUGAGGGAUGUGUGUGGCAGCUUGCUUCAGUCUCGUGGAAUGGUCAUACUGCAGUGGGGAAAAAGGAAGUAUCCAGAAGGAAAUUCAUCAUGGCAGAUAAAAGAAAAGGUGUGGCGAUUCAGUACUGCAUUUUGUUCUGUUAAUGAAUGGAAAUUUGCUGACAUCCUAAGCAUGGCUGACCACUUGAAGAAGUGCAGUUACAAUAUUGUAGAGAAACGGGAGGAAGCCAUCCCAUUGCCAUGCAUGUGUGUGACACGAGAACUCACGAAAGAAGGACGUUCACUGCGCUCAGUUUUAAAACCCGUACUUUAAAAACUGUAACUCCACUUGCACAUAUAUGCAAGCACCUAGUAUAAUUUCUUUGUAAUAUGUGACACUUUAUUAAUGUAUUAAAGAUUACAACUAGCUAAAUUUAUUGUCACUGUGUAUAUAAUGUUUUGAAGUGACAUAUAUUUUUAUAAAGUACUGUUUAGUUGGAAAAAAGUUGCCUUAAUGUUUGAAAUGUGUGAAACUUUUGGAACUUGCUGGACAGGGUGAACUAAUUUUUUGCUACAUAAUUUUCAGAAUUAGUAUUUUUAAUGGUGUGCAAAUUUUGGUUCUUAAAUUUUUUGCUUCUUAAACUAAUAAGAUCCUGACCAAACAUAUUUCCUCAUGUUUUUGUGGGUUGCAACCCAUACAUUCAAAAGCAAAAUUUUGAUUCACAUUUUUGCACAUAGGUUUUUCAGGUGAAAAAUUCAGUUGCUUAAACAUUGACAUAAGAUCCUUCUAAAGAUUUUAUAUUCUAAUGCUCCCUUUAUACAGUUGUUGACAUGUAGAUGGUUUCUAAUAUAUACUUAUAUAAUAUUUAAAAUUAUGACUAUUUGGUAAUGCCAUUUAUUACAUUUUAAAAAUAAUUCACAAAGAUGUAUUCACUGUAUGUAUUUACAGCUCUCCUUCAUAGAGUGGUUCAUACACAACUUUCUUUUUGUUAGAUGCCACAUCCAAAGACUGGCAACAUAUUAUAUGACAGGUUAAAGCAAAACAAACAAAAGCCUGUGAAUUUAUUUUAAUUUGAAGCUGUUCAUGGUAUUAUUUGCUAGGUAGUCGAUAUUAGUAGAGAAGAAAAUAUACCUCAUUUUAAGUUUGAAUUGGGCAUAUUGUGUAAAUAAAUUUAAAGCAUUCAGAAUGCAAAGGGCUUCCCUUUUUUUAUAAGUAUUUAAAAUUUUUGCUUUUUGAUGUUUAAAUAAAAUCACAACUCUGUUGCUUUAAGACAUUUGAAAAUGUGAAAUUUGGUAUCUUUGUAAGAUGACAAUCUUGAAAUGCAGAAACCUGUUGUGGUUGACAAUCUCCUUAAAACAGUUCCAGUUUAAUCUCCUAUAGCCUUCUCUAUCAAAAAAGUAAGAACUGCAUCUUUGUGUAAAGAUCAAGGUACAACAGAAAAAUAUUCAAAGACCUAUUCUUGAACUAUUUUAUUAUAGCUUUCCAAUUUAUUAAUACUAUUAUUAACCUGAUGUGGUCAGUUUAAAAAAUGAAUGUAUCAGUAUUUAGAAACAAAUUGCAAAGAUGGGGACAUGUAUUUAAAUAAUUUGUUUUAAGUAACUUCUGGCAUUUGGUAGUCUGAAAUGGUGACAAGUUACCUUGUUAUAAAAUAUCAAAACUCUAUUGUAUCUUUUCUUCCUACACUUGUCCCUGAGAGUGCUCUAUUGUUACUACGUUCUUGAUUCCCAUAUAUGGCAAUCAGGCUGGGCAGAGGCAUUCCUUGGGCAUUAGAAAAGAAUUCUAAACUGUUUAAAACUUGUUUUGGUUGAAUCAAGACCUUAUUAUUGUUGAAAGAUAUAGCACUAAAGUCUAAUCAAUUGUUUCACCUCACCUGUCAUUUUAAUUAGUGGAAUACUUAUUUCUCAGUGCUUAUACUUUCUUUUUCAACUGAGAUUGAAGGACAUAACCAGUCUCUAUUUCUGUGAAAACGUCAGAAAUAAGAUAUCAAAUAAUAUAACUCUGCCUUUUAAAGUUUUGUUGAAGAAUGUGUCUGGUUAGGAUAGCACAAACAUUAAGUUUUUGUUUUAUGGUUGUGCUUUUUAAAAUCCUUGGGUUUUAAGUUUAGACUUCUUGUUUCCAUACUGGAUCAUGAGAUAUUUAACAUUUUUCCACCGUUUAGUUCUUUUACACAUCAUUGGCUGUUUUCUUUUUUGUUUGUUAUGCCACCAUACUGUUUUGUUAAAAUGUGUUCUUUGUGCAACAUUUGUUCAAAUUCUAAUAAAAUUAAUAUUUUCCCUAUGCGGCUCAGUAACUUAAAAAGGAAAACUUUUAUUUAAAUAAAACUUAAUACUUGUUUAACAAAUUCCAAACACAGUCAUGCUGUUUCUGUAGAGUAUGUUUCUGCAUGUUACAGGAACUGCUUGUUGAUUAUUACUCACCCAUGUUUUACUGGUGAGCAUUAAAUUUCUUUUUUAAUAUGGGAAGUUUAUCAGCUUUCUGUGCCCCCUCAGUGUCUUCUUGAAAGUAGUCCCACCUGUGGGGUAUUGAAAGGCUGAAGAGUUUCUGGCAUUAUUAUUUUUCUAAAACUUGUAAUGGGCACAAUUUAUCUAGCCUUGUAAGCAUGAAAAGAUUUGUAUGACAUCCAAGUGAAUUGUCAUUUGAGAAGUCUUUGUUAGUCUUUGCUAACCAUCAAGAUAAAGUGGCAAGUGUAGGAUGGAGGGAAAUAAUCUGAAUUCACUUUUAUCUGCUGUCUCCUUCCUCAGAACUGCCUGUUAUUUUAGUUCCUUCCCUCCCUCUCCUCCCUUCUCCCUCCUCUCCCUCCCUCCCUCCCCCAUAAACUCUGGGAUUGGAGCCAGCAAUCUGUUUUAACAAAAGACCUUCACGUGAUUAUGAUUCACAGUAAAGUAUGACAACUUAGAGGAAAGACUGGAACAUGCCAGCUGUUCUCUUGAUGUGUUACUGGAGUGGGUAAAUGUGUGUAUGUAUAUACAUGUGUAAUCCAAAAUUAUGAGUUAAUGGUUAAGUUAAAUGAUAUAGUUGUGUUAAUAUUAUAACCAUGUGAGAAAAUACAUUGGGUACCAUGGUUUUUGGACAUUUUAAAGUAUUUAUAAUAUUUUAAAUUUACUGUUACUAGUGUUCUGUUCAAGGUAAAUUGUAAUGCAACUUACAGUUCAUCAGCACUUACAUUUAGCCUAGUUAUCAAUUUUUCUCUUGUUUAGUGGUUACAGAGUGAUGUGAAUGUAUUAGAUUUCUAGGAUAAGUAAAGAGUGUAGAAGUAGAUAAAUACUGGAUUAAACCCUACAAAAAUAUUUGUAGGAAUCCUUUCAACCCUAUCAAUGAAGGAUUUUAAAGGUUGAAUUGUUAGUUUAUCAAUAGCAUAAAAUCUUUUUUGGUCUUUGACCAUGUGUUGCAUACAUACCCCAUCAAUAUUGUUGCUGUUUGCUAUCCCUUAACAUUGGGUAUUGGGAUCAUAGUAACAUUGAAGAUAAUGGGGUCAAUAAAACUUUCAUAUUCUUUGAAGACAGGGUAGUUUUAUUACUAUAUUGAUAACAGAUUUUUACCUCUGGUGGUUUGAAUGCAUUGUUUGGCAUUUAGGCGCAAAACACAUUUAAGUUUUGCAUCUCAACUUAAGAAUGGGGUUUAUUAAUAUUUAAAAAUGUCUAAGGAGUAGUUAUGCAAACAUAAAACUGUGUGUUUCAUGCAUGACACCACAUUAGAAGGUGAUAUGACUGGGUCCUGCAGAGGUGGGUGUUUAGAACUGCAGCAGAAGGAAAGCAAUUGGCCCAUUCUUUCAAAAGGCUGGACUAAGCUUUGGAUGGAAAGAAUUUCUUGGAUAUGUGUUUGGCUGAUCAGCUAAAUACUGUUCUAAGUAAUCUUACUUAACAUGCUCAUGAGGCCUAGGAAGAGAAUAUUAGUUAUGCCUUUAAACAAAAUCAGCUCAUCAGUGACUUGUCCAUUGUGUUAAAAUAAUUCAAUAUGGGUUUCCUUAGGAUUUGAUCUAAAUCUGAUUUCAAACAAAAACAUCUGUAGAAGUAGAGGCCAACUCUAAAGGAGUAAACUUUCUAAAUAAGGAAAGAAGAAUGGUUUCUUUCUAAAGUCGCCUUCCGUGGAAUUACUUUGAUUUAAAGGAUCAAAGUAAGUUCAAAAAGAUGUUCUUUAAGUUUCCAAUAUAUGGGUAGAAAACUGCGGCUCUCCAAGUUUAGGUAUUGAUGAGUGUGGAGGUAUUUUGAGAGAAAUGUGCCCCGGCAUGGUUCAUUUUUCUACUUUACAAAUACAGAAAGAGAAAGGACAUUUAGAUAUAAGGAAAUUACUUUGGAAAAUAUCGUUGCCUAGAAUGUUUGAUUCCUAAUAAGUGUUCAGAAAGAGUUUUGGGUAAUACCAAAAAGAAAAGUAGAAACUAAGUAAGGUAUGUUGCUCUGAAAAUCCUUUGCAAAAACUAGUGUCUUUUGCUGAAAUGGUUUCAAGUAUUUGCACCUGUGAGUAGUAACAUUCUAUAAAUUCAUUGUUUAUAUGUAUAUUUAUUUGCAUGUAUAAUCUCCAUAAAUUGGCCAAGUAGAUUUUAAUAUAUCUUGAGAUGUAUUAAUGGAGAUACAUCUUGAGGUGCUUUUUUCUAAAUCUUAGAAUGUUUCAAAACUGACAUUUUUUAUUCAGAAUGUUUGAUGUUCCAAUGUAUUAUGUGGGAAGUGACUUUUCAUUAAUGAACUACAAAGAAAUAGGUUAAAAGGAUGAGUUUUAAAAUGCUUUAUAGAAAUACAGUAGAAACUCAUUGAUAUGAAUCUAUUAUAUAUUUUUAAAAUAUUUUUGACUUGCUGGACUGAAGUGAGUAGUCUUUACUAUGAAGAAAAGCAUUUCUAAAGCAAACUGAAAAACAAGGGAAAUAUGUUUCUUUUUUCACGAACACCAAUAAAAUCUCAAGCACCCCCAAGUCAUUAUUAGUCCAUUUGCAUGCAAAUAGGAGAUGGUUCUUCAAUGCAUAGCUAGUUCUAGUGGUGGUAAUAGUGUAUGUGUUUGAAAGUAAUAAGACAACAUUUCUUUUGAAUUAUUUAAGAUUGGCAAAAUCAUCAGGUCAAAUUAUUUUUUCCCAGUAAAAGCAGAUAAAUCAGGUUUAAUUUUUUACCUUUUUCUAAUAUAAAUUUAGAAUUUUCUCAAGACAAUAUCCUUAAACAGAUAAAUAGGUUUAUAUGUCUUGGUUCAUUCCUUGGCAGAAGGGCUGACUGGUUAGAUUUCUAUGCCAGUCAAAGAGUAACAUCAACUGUUACAUUAUCAUUAUUCAGUGGUCUAAUAUAAGAACAGUAGCAAUAAUUUGUUAUUGCUCAAAAGAUUGAAGUUGAAAAAAGGAGACCCUGCCCUUUGCUAUUCUCUAGAUGCUUUUUUCAUUGAACCCCCCCCACCCCAUUAAUUUAUAUUAUUGCUUUUUAUUCCAUAACUUGAAUUUUCUUACCAGGUGAUCAAAAAACCUAGUUUUGCUAAUCAGCCUGUGAUUAGUAAUUUUUGUCCAUACGUUUACAUUUUAUUAAGUAACUUCAACUUUUAAAGUAUCUCAGCUCAAAAAUUUGUAGUAUGGAAAAAUUGAAGUAUUCAAGUUUAACCGUAUUAUUUAAUUAAAAGAAACCAAACCAUAGAAAUGGAAGCCAUCAUGGGUACUGCAUCCGGUCAAGAGUAGAACUAUCCAGUGAAUAUUUAAUUAUGUCAAAUGGAUGGCUUCAUAUCAAUUGAUAACUUUUAAAAAUUGUUACCUGUAUUAGAGAUUUGAAGUAAAGUGGAGAAUGGUAUUAAUUCCCUACAUUCCAAUAGUUUUGUGAUGAAAACUAUGACAUGAAUUGCUUUGAAUGAUUAAUAAUUUGGUGGACAUGAAUUCUAAAGAUUUUUAUGUUACAUUUAAAAUGUUAAAACUGUAUUGUUCAUUUGAUCAGUGUUUAAGCACCAGUCAAUCCUGAACACUUGAAUUGCAUUCUGAAAGGUAAUUGCACUGACUCCUUUACUUACCUCAGAGGUCAUUAUAUCUCUUUUUGAUAAUUUACAUUAAUAAGUGUUUUCUUCUUAAAUGUGAAUGGAUAUGGUUUUUCUUGAAAAAAGUAUUCAGUGAAAAGCUAGAGACAAAAGGCCACCUAUUGUAUGAUUCCAUUUAUAUGAAAUACAUAUCCAGAAUGGGCAAGUCCAUGGAGACAAAUCAGAUUAAUCAGCUAGGAGCUGGGGAAGUGACUGUUAAUGGGUACUGGUUUCCUUGUGGUGAUGAAAAUAUGCUAGAACCAGAUAAUGUGGAUUGCACAACAUUGUGAAUUUUCUAAAUGCCACUGAAUUGUACAACUGUGACAGUAAUUGGCUUCAAUGUCAACGUUCAUUUUUCACCUUUUGCAUUUUUUUAUGAUUCCUUGUGGCACAUGUCAAUUUAAAGGUCCGUAUUUAAUAUCAUGCUUUGAAGAAAUUUAUAAAUAAUUUUCAGGAUUAUUUUUAUAGUUUUAUACUUUGUUUUCCUUUUAAAGAACAAAUACAAUGAUGUGUUAGAUAAGACUAAAUUAAUAAAUUGAAUUACUGUA